Molecule: ribosomal RNA, 957 nt
Filed under: uncultured Lachnospiraceae bacterium
Lineage: Bacteria; Bacillati; Bacillota; Clostridia; Lachnospirales; Lachnospiraceae
Description: bacterial SSU rRNA
Rfam family: Bacterial small subunit ribosomal RNA
Source: RNAcentral
GGUACCUGACUAAGAAGCCCCGNCUAACUACGUGCCAGCAGCCGCGGUAAUACGUAGGGGGCAAGCGUUAUCCGGAUUUACUGGGUGUAAAGGGAGCGUAGACGGCGAAGCAAGUCUGAAGUGAAAGCCCGGGGCUUAACCCCGGGACUGCUUUGGAAACUGUUUUGCUAGAGUGCUGGAGAGGUAAGUGGAAUUCCUAGUGUAGCGGUGAAAUGCGUAGAUAUUAGGAGGAACACCAGUGGCGAAGGCGGCUUACUGGACAGUAACUGACGUUGAGGCUCGAAAGCGUGGGGAGCAAACAGGAUUAGAUACCCUGGUAGUCCACGCGGUAAACGAUGAAUGCUAGGUGUUGGGGAGCAAAGCUCUUCGGUGCCGUCGCAAACGCAAUAAGCAUUCCACCUGGGGAGUACGUUCGCAAGAAUGAAACUUAAAGGAAUUGACGGGGACCCGCACAAGCGGUGGAGCAUGUGGUUUAAUUCGAAGCAACGCGAAGAACCUUACCAAGUCUUGACAUCCUUCUGACCGGCGCGUAACGGCGCCUUCUCUUCGGAGCAGGAGAGACAGGUGGUGCAUGGUUGUCGUCAGCUCGUGUCGUGAGAUGUUGGGUUAAGUCCCGCAACGAGCGCAACCCUUAUCCUUAGUAGCCAGCAGUAAGAUGGGCACUCUAGGGAGACUGCCAGGGAUAACCUGGAGGAAGGUGGGGAUGACGUCAAAUCAUCAUGCCCCUUAUGAUUUGGGCUACACACGUGCUACAAUGGCGUAAACAAAGGGAAGCGAAGCCGCGAGGUGAAGCAAAUCCCAAAAAUAACGUCCCAGUUCGGAUUGUAGGCUGCAACUCGCCUGCAUGAAGCUGGAAUCGCUAGUAAUCGCGAAUCAGAAUGUCGCGGUGAAUACGUUCCCGGGUCUUGUACACACCGCCCGUCACACCAUGGGAGUCGAUAACGCCCGAAGUCAGUG